AUUGAACGCUGGCGGCAUGCCUUACACAUGCAAGUCGAACGGCAGCACGGGAGCAAUCCUGGUGGCGAGUGGCGAACGGGUGAGUAAUACAUCGGAACGUGCCCAAUCGUGGGGGAUAACGCAGCGAAAGCUGUGCUAAUACCGCAUACGAUCUACGGAUGAAAGCAGGGGACCGCAAGGCCUUGCGCGAAUGGAGCGGCCGAUGGCAGAUUAGGUAGUUGGUGGGGUAAAGGCUCACCAAGCUAACGAUCUGUAGCUGGUCUGAGAGGACGACCAGCCACACUGGGACUGAGACACGGCCCAGACUCCUACGGGAGGCAGCAGUGGGGAAUUUUGGACAAUGGGCGCAAGCCUGAUCCAGCCAUGCCGCGUGCAGGAUGAAGGCCUUCGGGUUGUAAACUGCUUUUGUACGGAACGAAACGGCCUUUUCUAAUAAAGAGGGCUAAUGACGGUACCGUAAGAAUAAGCACCGGCUAACUACGUG
Molecule: ribosomal RNA, 484 nt
Filed under: uncultured bacterium
Lineage: Bacteria
Description: partial 16S ribosomal RNA
Rfam family: Bacterial small subunit ribosomal RNA
Source: RNAcentral